GACGAACGCUGGCGGCGUGCUUAACACAUGCAAGUCGAGCGGUAAGGCCCUUUCGGGGGUACACGAGCGGCGAACGGGUGAGUAACACGUGGGUGACCUGCCCUUAGCUCUGGGAUAAGCCUGGGAAACUGGGUCUAAUACCGGAUAUGACUCCAUGACGCAUGUUGUGGGGUGGAAAGCCUUGUGCGGCUAGGGAUGGGCCCGCGGCCUAUCAGCUUGUUGGUGGGGUGANGGCCUACCAAGGCGACGACGGGUAGCCGGCCUGAGAGGGCGACCGGCCACACUGGGACUGAGACACGGCCCAGACUCCUACGGGAGGCAGCAGUGGGGAAUCUUGCGCAAUGGGCGAAAGCCUGACGCAGCGACGCCGCGU
Molecule: ribosomal RNA, 373 nt
Filed under: uncultured bacterium
Lineage: Bacteria
Description: bacterial SSU rRNA
Rfam family: Bacterial small subunit ribosomal RNA
Source: RNAcentral